UGCGUAGGUGGAAUAUUAAGUCAGUGGUGAAAUCCCAGAGCUCAACUCUGGAACUGCCAUUGAAACUGGUAUUCUUGAAUAUAGUUGAGGUAGGCGGAAUGUGUAAUGUAGCGGUGAAAUGCUUAGAUAUUACACAGAACACCGAUUGCGAAGGCAGCUUACUAAACUAUGAUUGACGCUGAUGCACGAAAGCGUGGGGAGCGAACAGGAUUAGAUACCCUGGUAGUCC
Molecule: ribosomal RNA, 229 nt
Filed under: uncultured bacterium
Lineage: Bacteria
Description: partial 16S ribosomal RNA
Rfam family: Bacterial small subunit ribosomal RNA
Source: RNAcentral